AGAGUAUAAUCGCAAGAUUGAAAUUCAAAGGAAUUGACGGGAGUCUACACAAGCGGUGGAGCAUGUGGUUUAAUUCGAUAAUACGCGCAGAACCUUACCAAUUCUUGUAAAUAUUUUUAAAAUAUUUUUUAAAAAAUACAGGCGUUGCAUGGCUGUCGUCAGCUCGUGUUGUGAGAUGUUUGGUUUAUUCCCUUAACGAGCGAAACCCCUAUUUUUAGUUGCUAAUUUAUAUUAAAGAUUGACUCUUUUUAUAAAUGCACUUUAAAAAAAGUUAAUGACAUAUUAAUGGAAAUGGGGAUUACGUCAAGUCUUCAUGGCCCUUAUGAAUUGGGCUACACACGUGCUACAAUGAUAAAUACAAUGAGAGGCAAUAAUAAUAAAAAAUUGGAGCAAAUCUUUAAAAUUUAUCUUAGUUCGGAUUAUGGGCUGCAACUCGCCCAUAUAAAGUUGGAAUCGCUAGUAAUCGCAAAACAG
RNAcentral lists this ribosomal RNA (474 nucleotides) under Saprolegnia litoralis. RNAcentral describes it as "partial small subunit ribosomal RNA". It matches the Rfam family "Bacterial small subunit ribosomal RNA", at positions 877 to 1352 of the family's 1533-position model. The record is from RNAcentral. Lineage: Eukaryota; Oomycota; Saprolegniomycetes; Saprolegniales; Saprolegniaceae.